RNAcentral lists this ribosomal RNA (1193 nucleotides) under Halapricum hydrolyticum. RNAcentral describes it as "partial 23S ribosomal RNA". It matches the Rfam family "Archaeal large subunit ribosomal RNA", at positions 1 to 1214 of the family's 2987-position model. The record is from RNAcentral. Lineage: Archaea; Methanobacteriati; Methanobacteriota; Halobacteria; Halobacteriales; Haloarculaceae.
ACAAGUUGGCUACUAUGCCAGCUGGUGGAUAGCUCGGCUCGGAAGCCGAUGAAGGACGUGCCAAGCUGCGAUAAGCCUGAGGGAGCCGCACGGAGGCGAAGAACUCAGGAUCUCCUAAUAGGAACUCCUCACCGCAAUUGCUUCGCGCAAUGGGGAACGCCGGGAACUGAAACAUCUUAGUACCGGCAGGAAGAGAAAGCGAAUGCGAUAUCGUCAGUAACCGCGAGUGAACGCGAUACAGUCCAAACCGAAUCCUUCGGGAUAUGUGGUGUUUUGGGCUGACUCUCAUCGGCCGAACGUCUUCGAGAAGUCUCCUGGAACGGAGCGUGAUACAGGGUGACAACCCCGUAUCGAAGUCAAGUACGUCGUGCGUCAGUUCCUGAGUAGCGGGGGUUGGAAAUCCCUCGUGAAUUUGGCAGGCAUCGUCUGUCAAGACUAAAUACUCUCCGAGACCGAUAGUGAACAAGUAGCGUGAGCGAACGCUGAAAAGCACCCUCAGAAGGGAGGUGCAAUAGGGCUUGAAAUCAGUUGGCGAUGGAGCGACGGGGCAUACAAGGUCCCGUGAAGAACGACCUGCCUGCGAAGGCACAGUAGGAUUCACGGGAAGCCGGUGUUCCGUCGUGCGUUUUGAAAAACGAGCCAGGGAGUGUGUCUGUUUGGCAAGUCUAACCCGAGCAUCGGGGGAGGCACAGGGAAACCAACAUGGCCGCAGGGCUUUGCCCCAGGGCCGCCGUCUUCAAGGGCGGGGAGCCAGACGGACACGACCCGAAUCCGGACGAUCUACUCCUGGGCAAGGUGAAGCGUACCGAAAGGUGCGUGGAAGCCUGUUAGCGUUGGUGUCCUACAAUACCCUCGCGUGACCUUGGAGUAGGGGUGAAAGGCCCAUCGAGUCCGGCAACAGCUGGUUCCAACCGAAACAUGUCGAAGCAUGACCUCCGCUGAGGUAGUCCGUGAGGUAGAGCGACCGAUUGCCGUGUCCGCCCUCGAGAGAGGUCGGCUCGGCUGUCAAACUCCGAACUUACGGACGCCGUCGACGCGGGGAGUCCGGUGCGCGGGGUAAGCCUGUGUACCAUAAGGGGAACAACCCAGCGUUUGGUUAAGGUCCCCAAGUGUGGAUUAAGUGUAAUCCUCUGAAGGUGGUCUCAAGCCCUAGACAGCCGGGAGGUGAGCUUAGAAGCAGCUACCCUCCAAGA